Molecule: long non-coding RNA, 957 nt
Filed under: Monodelphis domestica (gray short-tailed opossum)
Lineage: Eukaryota; Metazoa; Chordata; Mammalia; Didelphimorphia; Didelphidae
Description: lncRNA (ENSMODG00000033056.2)
Source: RNAcentral
AUGAGUGAGGUUUCUCACUCAUUAAAAACCAUGGCUCAAAAGAAACUAGUUUUUUUUUUUCCAACAUCAAAAGGAAGAGGACACAAUAUUAAAAAACAGCAACAACAACAUUUAAACAAGAUAGCAAGAAGUAACAAGAAUGAUUCCUUCAAUUCCAAUGGAACACAAUUUUCCCACAUCAAUAGUGGGAGAAGGGAAAUAUGUCAGAAAUAUGGAUGGAAGGACUCCUUUCAUUUUUAUAGGGAACAAAUGUGUCCAGGGCAUCUUCUGAAUCUAUCUAAUGUUUCUUCUUGCUCCCUUUCAGAACGAAAAUGUCCUAUAGUGAAGUCAUGGAGAGAUCAUCUUUCACAUCCAAUUUCCCUUCUUUGUGCUAUUGGAAACUGUGGCCUAACUCCAGAGAAGAGAAAGCAAUCCCUAUUGGAAAUGAAGAUAAAGAGGGAUUCAGGAGUGUGCCAAGGCUAUUUUCUCAGGAGAACAUCUCUUUUAAAGUAAAGUAACAACACACUAAAGCAGCCAGUAUCAUAUUUUUGGAAUAUAAAUUAAAAAGGUCAGUACCAUAUUUUGGGAAAUUUUUUAAAAAUGGCAUCUGCUUUUUUGCUAUCACACCCUUAUUCAAAUUCACAUCGUAUAUUCUAUCCACCAAGUGGCUAAUCCAUUUAAUUUAUUCAAAAAUCUAUGUUUCUAAAAAAAUCUAUGUUUCACAUUAAUUUUGGAUGAUAUUUUUCAGAUAUAUUUCACAAGCAUUUUGGGGUUUGGGAUUUAUAUUACUUUUUUGGAAGGUCUUUGCAAAUUCCUUAAGAUCCAUGCCUCACCUGCACUUAAGUACACGUAAACACACUUUUUAAUAUUAAAAAAAAAAAUGUUGCAUCAUAAAUUUUCUCUCUUCCCCCCACCCCAACUGAGAUAGUAAGCAAUAUGACACAGAUUUUACAGGUGAGAUCAUGUAAAAUAUUUCCC